This 84-nucleotide transfer RNA is filed under the name Lentilactobacillus senioris. RNAcentral describes it as "tRNA-Leu". It matches the Rfam family "tRNA". Rfam says of the family: Transfer RNA (tRNA) molecules are approximately 80 nucleotides in length. Their secondary structure includes four short double-helical elements and three loops (D, anti-codon, and T loops). The record is from RNAcentral. Lineage: Bacteria; Bacillati; Bacillota; Bacilli; Lactobacillales; Lactobacillaceae.
GCCGGAGUGGCGGAAUUGGCAGACGCGCUGGACUCAAAAUCCAGUGUCCUCACGGACGUGUGGGUUCGAACCCCACCUCCGGUA